GUGCUCCGUUCGUCAGCACAUAUACUAAAAUUGGAACGAUACAGAGAAGAUUAGCAUGGUGCGUGGCAAGGAUGGCACACAAAUUUGUGAAUCGUUACAUAUUUUU
Non-coding RNA from Xenopus laevis (African clawed frog), 106 nucleotides. The record is from Rfam. Lineage: Eukaryota; Metazoa; Chordata; Amphibia; Anura; Pipidae.